UAGGGAAUCUUCCACAAUGGACGCAAGUCUGAUGGAGCAACGCCGCGUGAGUGAAGAAGGUCUUCGGAUCGUAAAACUCUGUUGUUAGAGAAGAACACGAGUGAGAGUAACUGUUCAUUCGAUGCGGUAUCUAACCAGCAAGUCACGGCUAACUACGUGCCAA
Molecule: ribosomal RNA, 163 nt
Filed under: uncultured bacterium
Lineage: Bacteria
Description: partial 16S rRNA
Rfam family: Bacterial small subunit ribosomal RNA
Source: RNAcentral